Molecule: ribosomal RNA, 253 nt
Filed under: uncultured bacterium
Lineage: Bacteria
Description: partial 16S ribosomal RNA
Rfam family: Bacterial small subunit ribosomal RNA
Source: RNAcentral
UACGUAGGGUGCAAGCGUUAAUCGGAAUUACUGGGCGUAAAGCGUGCGCAGGCGGUUUGCUAAGUCCGAUGUGAAAUCCCCGGGCUUAACCUGGGAACUGCAUUGGUGACUGGCAAGCUAGAGUGUGGCAGAGGGGGGUAGAAUUCCACGUGUAGCAGUGAAAUGCGUAGAGAUGUGGAGGAAUACCGAUGGCGAAGGCAGCUCUCUGGGACGGUACUGACACUGAGACGCGAAAGCGUGGGGAGCGAACAGG